UGCUAAAUAGUCUAAGACGUGAAAAGCUACUAGGCUUACGGCAAGCGGAGCUGGAAAAUUAAACAUACCUAUACACUGUAUUACGACUACAAUAACUUUUUCAUGGUCGAGCAGCUGUGACAACUCGAAGUGAAGCCUUUAAGAUCCAAAAGACUUGCAACAGACGCAAUCGGUACCGUCAAAGCACACGAGAGUGGACGAAGGUGGUACGGGCGACUUCUCGGCUGGGUAAAUUUACGGAUCAGCGGUUAGGUCAAAGACAUCGUGAAUCUGGAUUGGGUAAAUGUAAUGUAGUUGAUAAAAUUAGAAAUACGACACUCAGGAGUGACCCUAAUCUUACGGAAGGUGAACUGCGGAAUCAGCUAGGAUCCAGAUUCCCCGCGGGCGCUUAAGACGUGCGGCAACGGAGACAGAACUACUAGUUUUCAAUUCUCGAUAAGGUGACAUAAAAAUAUCC
Long non-coding RNA from Varroa destructor (honeybee mite), 457 nucleotides. RefSeq lists it as uncharacterized. Lineage: Eukaryota; Metazoa; Arthropoda; Arachnida; Mesostigmata; Varroidae. The record is from RefSeq and is a predicted model, not a curated record.